RNAcentral lists this ribosomal RNA (118 nucleotides) under Euryhalocaulis caribicus. The record is from RNAcentral. Lineage: Bacteria; Pseudomonadati; Pseudomonadota; Alphaproteobacteria; Maricaulales; Maricaulaceae.
GACCCGGUGGUUAUUGCGAGGGGUCCGCACCCGUUCCCAUCCCGAACACGGCCGUUAAGUCCCUCAGCGCCGAUGGUACUCCGUCUCAAGACGUGGGAGAGUAGGUCGCUGCCGGGUC